GGAAGUGAACCAUCUCAGUACCUGCAGGAAGAGAAAACAAGUCAGUGAUUCCGCUAGUAGCGGCGAGCGAACGCGGAACAGCCCAAACCAGAGGGCUUGCUCUCUGGGGUUGUAGGGCCCGUUGGGCCGCAAGGCCGCCGAGUGAUCAACCGGAUCGUUAGUCGAACCCGUAUGGAAAUCGGGACCAUAGAAGGUGACAGUCCUGUAGACGACAACCAUCCGGCUCGGUGGACGGGUACCUGAGUACCGCGGGACACGUGAAAUCCCGUGGGAAUCUACGAGGACCAUCUCGUAAGGCUAAAUACUCGCUGGUGGCCGAUAGUGAACCAGUACCGUGAGGGAAAGGUGAAAAGCACCCCUGUGAGGGGAGUGAAAUAGUACCUGAAACCGUAUGCCUACAAGCAGUCGGAGGGCUAUACCGGGGUAACCCGGUCUGCCUGACGACGUGCCUUUUGCAUAAUGAGCCGGCUAGUUAUUCUCAGUGGCGAGGUUAAGCGCAAAGCGAGCCGCAGCGAAAGCGAGUCCGAAUAGGGCGACAGAGUCGCUGGGAAUAGACGCGAAGCGGGAUGAUCUACCCUUGGCCAGGAUGAAGUACGGGUAACACCGUAUGGAGGUCCGAACCGGUGUUGGUUGAAAACAGCUCGGAUGAGCUGAGGGUAGGGGUGAAAGGCUAAUCAAAUUCCGUGAUUGCCCGUUCUCCUCGAAAUGCCUUUAGGGGCAGCCUCGGAUGGUCGGCGCUGGUGGUAGAGCACUGGAUGGACUAGGGGCCUUACCAGGUUACUGAAUCCAACCAAACUUCGAAUGCCAGCGACACGUAAUCCGGGAGUGAGACGGUGGGGGCUAAGCUUCAUCGUCGAAAGGGAAACAGCCCAGACAUCCAGCUAAGGUCCCAAACUUCAUGCUAAGUGGGAAAGGACUCGGAGACGCUCAGACAACCAGGAGGUUGGCUUAGAAGCAGCCAUCCUUUAAAGAAAGCGUAAUAGCUCACUGGUCAAGCGGCUCCGGGCCGACAAUGUAACGGGGCUCAAGCAUGAGACCAAAGCUGAUGACUGGUGGAUCCUGCGGGGUCCACCAUUGGUAGAGGAGCGUUCCUGCAGCUGUGAAGCCAGACCGACAAGGACUGGUGGAGUGGCAGGAAGUGACCCUGCCGGCAUAAGUAGCGAGAAGGGAAGUGAGAAUCUUCCCCGCCGUAAGCCUAAGGAUUCCUGAGGUAGGUUCGUCCGCUCAGGGUUAGUCGGGAGCUAACGCGAGGCCGAAAGGCGUAGCGGAUGCACAUCCGGUUAAUAAUCCGGAACUACCUGAAGAUCGUUAUCACGAUGGGGGGACGCAGGAGGCUAUGCGGGCCUGGAUAGGGUCGCAAGACAGCCAGGUUGAGGCAUGUAGGGGGAUCCGGCAGGUAAAUCCACUGGAUCGCAUUCCCUGAGGUGCCGAAGCGAGAGCCGCAAGGCUCACAAAGCCGCAGACGCCACGCUGCCGAGAAAAGCCUCUAAGGAGAUCUUCGGGUACCCGUACCGCAAACCGACACAGGUAGGCGAGGAGAAAAUCCUCCGGCGCAAGUGAGACUCCACGUUUAGGAACUAGGCAAAAUAACCCCGUAACUUCGGGAGAAGGGGUGCUUCUUGUCGUUAGUGGCUUCGCGCCACGAAGCGUCACAGAAGUUGCAAUAAAGAGGCUCAAGCGACUGUUUACUAAAAACACAGGGCUCUGCUAAGUCGAAAACGACGUAUAGGGUCUGACGCCUGCCCGGUGCCGGAAGGUUAAAAGGAGGAGUUAGUCGCAAGGCGAAGCUCCGAAUUGAAGCCCCGGUAAACGGCGGCCGUAACUAUAACGGUCCUAAGGUAGCGAAAUUCCUUGUC
Molecule: ribosomal RNA, 1856 nt
Filed under: uncultured bacterium
Lineage: Bacteria
Description: bacterial LSU rRNA
Rfam family: Bacterial large subunit ribosomal RNA
Source: RNAcentral